AGAAAGGCCCGCAAGGGUCGCCAGAGGACGGGUCCGCGUCCCAUCAGCUAGUUGGUGAGGUAAUGGCUCACCAAGGCGAAGACGGGUAGCUGGUCUGAGAGGAUGAUCAGCCACACUGGAACUGAGACACGGUCCAGACUCCUACGGGAGGCAGCAGUGGGGAAUAUUGCGCAAUGGGCGAAAGCCUGACGCAGCCACGCCGCGUGAGCGAUGAAGGUCUUCGGAUCGUAAAGCUCUGUGGGGGAGAAGAAGAAAGUCGGUGAAGAGCCGGCCCUGACGGUAUCCCCUUAGCAAGCACCGGCUAACUCCGUGCCAGCAGCCGCGGUAAUACGGAGGGUGCAAACGUUGCUCGGAAUCAUUGGGCGUAAAGCGCGCGUAGGCGGCUGAACAAGUUGGAUGUGAAAGCCCUGGGCUCAACCUAGGAUGUGCAUUCAAAACUGUUCGGCUUGAGUCUCGGAGGGGGUCAGAGAAUUCUCGGUGUAGAGGUGAAAUUCGUAGAUAUCGGGAGG
RNAcentral lists this ribosomal RNA (509 nucleotides) under uncultured bacterium. RNAcentral describes it as "bacterial SSU rRNA". It matches the Rfam family "Bacterial small subunit ribosomal RNA", at positions 201 to 704 of the family's 1533-position model. The record is from RNAcentral.